UCUGGUGAUUUGAGGCGGUGGAACCACCUCUUCCCAUUCCGAACAGAGAAGUUAAACGCCGUACUACCGAUGAUAGUCCUUCGGGGCGAAAGUAGGCAGUCGCCAGUA
Molecule: ribosomal RNA, 108 nt
Filed under: bacterium
Lineage: Bacteria
Source: RNAcentral